UACAGAGGUCUCAAGCGUUGUUCGGAUUCAUUGGGCGUAAAGGGCGCGUAGGCGGCCUUCUAAGUCGAACGUGAAAUCCCCGGGCUCAACCCGGGAACUGCGUCCGAUACUGGGAGGCUUGAAUCCGGGAGAGGGAUGUGGAAUUCCAGGUGUAGCGGUGAAAUGCGUAGAUAUCUGGAGGAACACCGGUGGCGAAGGCGGCAUCCUGGACCGGUAUUGACGCUGAGGCGCGAAAGCCAGGGGAGCAAACGGG
RNAcentral lists this ribosomal RNA (253 nucleotides) under uncultured bacterium. RNAcentral's name for it is "partial 16S ribosomal RNA". It matches the Rfam family "Bacterial small subunit ribosomal RNA", at positions 524 to 776 of the family's 1533-position model. The record is from RNAcentral.